Molecule: long non-coding RNA, 238 nt
Filed under: Gossypium barbadense (sea-island cotton)
Lineage: Eukaryota; Viridiplantae; Streptophyta; Magnoliopsida; Malvales; Malvaceae
Description: long non-coding RNA (GBAR_LNC015526)
Source: RNAcentral
GAGUCUUAUAUUGCUUAAGGUGAAUUUUGAUGAAGGAUAGAAGCGGACCUUGACCCGUUACCUAUAUGGAGGUAAGAACCAAAGGUAUAGGAAGAUGGUUGAACGCCACACCGAUUCGGUGAUAAGUUCAAUGGAGUUCGGAUUGACACCACUAGCAAGCUAGAUAAGUCGCUUCGAGACUCGAACGAAAGAAGAGAGGAGGUAACCUCACAAGAACAAAAGUUCUAUUAAGUUUAAU